Molecule: ribosomal RNA, 880 nt
Filed under: uncultured bacterium
Lineage: Bacteria
Description: bacterial SSU rRNA
Rfam family: Bacterial small subunit ribosomal RNA
Source: RNAcentral
GUCGAGCGCGAAAGUCCCUUCGGGGGCGAGUAGAGCGGCGGACGGGUGAGUAAUACAUAGGUAAUCUACCUUUCGAGCUUGGGAUAACCCCGCGAAAGUGGGGCUAAUAUCGGAUAAGACCACGUAAUUAUUUUACGGGGUAAAAGGUGGCUUAUUUUUUAAAUGAGCUAUCACUUGAGGAUGAGCCUGUGGCCUAUCAGCUAGUUGGCGGGGUAAGAGCCCACCAAGGCUAUGACGGGUAGCUGGUCUGAGAGGACGACCAGCCACACUGGGACUGAGACACGGCCCAGACUCUUACGGGAGGCAGCAGUGGGGAAUAUUGGGCAAUGGGCGAAAGCCUGACCCAGCGACGCCGCGUGGGCGAUGAAGGCCUUCGGGUUGUAAAGCCCUGUCAUGCGGAAAGAACGACCCUGAGACGCAUACUCUCAGGGAGUGACGGUACCGCAGGAGGAAGCACCGGCUAACUCCGUGCCAGCAGCCGCGGUAAUACGGAGGGUGCAAGCGUUGUUCGGAAUUAUUGGGCGUAAAGGGCGCGUAGGCGGUAAUGCAAGUCAGAUGUGAAAUACUCCGGCUCAACUGGGGAACUGCAUCUGAAACUGCAUAACUAGAGUACAGAAGAGGGAAACGGAAUUCCCGGUGUAGAGGUGAAAUUCGUAGAUAUCGGGAGGAACACCAGUGGCGAAGGCGGUUUCCUGGUCUGAUACUGACGCUGAGGCGCGAAAGUGUGGGGAGCAAACAGGAUUAGAUACCCUGGUAGUCCACACUGUAAACGGUGAACACUAGGUGUGGGAGGUGUAAUACCUUCCGUGCCGUAGCUAACGCGUUAAGUGUUCCGCCUGGGAAGUACGGCCGCAAGGUUGAAACUCAAAGGAAUUGACGG